This is a long non-coding RNA of Panicum virgatum (switchgrass), 1244 nucleotides long. RefSeq lists it as uncharacterized. NCBI's taxonomy places the organism in Eukaryota, Viridiplantae, Streptophyta, Magnoliopsida, Poales, Poaceae. The record is from RefSeq and is a predicted model, not a curated record. The transcript is spliced from 2 exons.
UUAUAUCGCCAUUUUGGUCUCCUCCCCCCCUCCCCUUCCUGCAACGAAGUCCGCUGAAGCGAGCAGCGAGAGGAAGAGCGCGGAGGGACAUGGAGGCGCAGGGAGCCCAGCGGAUGGCAGGAGAAACCCACGUCGGGAGGGUGGUGGCUCCAAUCGCAUCGCCAAGCACGUCGGGAUCCAAAACCAGGUACCGAUUAAACUGCCCUGCUCCUGAAUCCGGCUAGUCUUGCCGCCACCGUCGCCCGCCGAUGCGGAUCACUACGCGGCUACGCCCACUCGCGGACUGAUUCGAAUCAUAGCAAAUCCGUCCAUCACCUCUUUGAGAUCUCAGAUCCUGUUCAGACUCGGGAAUUGAUAGUCAAGCCCACCCCGUGGCCGUAUUCCGGCUCGAGUAACGUGCGAUGUGUCUUUUUAUUUUUUUCUGCUCACACUGCAGGUCUUAUUAGAAGUGGCUGCAGCAUUUCUCUGAGGGUGAAUGAGUUGCUGGAGGAAGCCGGAGCGCUAGAGCUGGAUACGAAUGAGUUCGCUGAACAUGCAAGUAGAGGUUCCAGCCUUUGAAUUGUCCUUGUUCUGGAUCUCUAUUUAGUGGAAUCGUGGUCGUUGUUGGCUACUGACUUGAGUACAUAUGAUUGUCUGCAGAAAGUUUCUGAUGAUGAUAAUAUUUUUUGAAAGGAAGAUGAUGAUAAUAUCGACUUGACAACAAGAGACAGUAUAAGAAGUUCUGCUCAGUCACAAGUGGGAACUCAGGAUUGUGAACGUGACAUCUUACUAAGAUACAAAGAUGCAUUGCGCGUAGGAAUUGCUUCCUGUAAGGAUCACUUUCGAAAGAAAUGGCCGUUCGACCACCUCGGUUUUCAGCAUAAGCUUUGCUUUGCUUGUGGUCAAUGAUUUUUGCGAAUUCUAGAUUAGUUGGAGAGACCUUGUCCAACAGUAUCGGUAAUGUUCCCGUACAAAAGAAGAGUAUUGAUAUUGUUGCAUGCAAAAGGAAUGUUGGCAGCUGUCUAUUUUGUGCCAAAAUUUGGGAUAAUAAAUUUUCGCAUGGAUUUUGGCUUGUUUGGUUUGAAGCCAAAGAGCAAGAGCCACUUGUUAGCAAAUCUUGGCAAGAUUCCAUUUCGUAUGACAUCUUAGUUCACCUUUUUGCCAAUUCAUGGGCGACCGAUUUGAUGUCUAUUUUUUUUUCGAGCAAUAGAUGUCUAAAUUUUGUAAAACGUACAAAGGGAAAUUUUGGCUACCAAACAUAUUCA